Molecule: ribosomal RNA, 449 nt
Filed under: uncultured bacterium
Lineage: Bacteria
Description: partial 16S ribosomal RNA
Rfam family: Bacterial small subunit ribosomal RNA
Source: RNAcentral
AGCGAACGCUGGCGGCAGGCCUAACACAUGCAAGUCGAACGGAUCCUUCGGGAUUAGUGGCGGACGGGUGAGUAACACGUGGGAACGUGCCCUUUGGUUCGGAACAACUCAGGGAAACUUGAGCUAAUACCGGAUGUGCCCUUCGGGGGAAAGAUUUAUCGCCAUUGGAGCGGCCCGCGUCUGAUUAGCUAGUUGGUGGGGUAAAGGCUCACCAAGGCGACGAUCAGUAGCUGGUCUGAGAGGAUGAUCAGCCACAUUGGGACUGAGACACGGCCCAAACUCCUACGGGAGGCAGCAGUGGGGAAUCUUGCGCAAUGGGGGAAAGCCUGACGCAGCCAUGCCGCGUGAAUGAUGAAGGUCUUAGGAUUGUAAAAUUCUUUCACCGGGGACGAUAAUGACGGUACCCGGAGAGGAAGCCCCGGCUAACUUCGUGCCAGCAGCCGCCGUAA